UCUGUUUGGGGUAUGGUUUCGGCAGACCAAUGAGGUGGGAGCUACCAUAUUAUUUAAGGACCCUUAUUCUGGCAGGCACAUAUGUGUCUUGGUGAUUCUGGGUUCCUCGCUCCCUAGUGUUUCUGUUUCCAUUCAGGUGCUGUUUAACUGCCUCUAUUGCAUGUGGUGGUGUCAGUGGGCGCUAUAGCCACCACACUACGGUGUCUGCAUCAGUGAGUCUUGGUGUGGGACAGAGGAGGCUAGCUGCCUUCAUUCGGUGGUGUGCUUCACAACAUGCUCAGUGUGCCGACACAUCAACUUUCAUCAUGACGUAAGUCGUGUUUGAUAAUUUGGUGUGACUUAAGAUGGGUUUGGAUGACCUCCUGAACUGCAGCUGGCCUGCCUUUUUCCCACCAAGCCUGGGCCUGGAUAAAUGCUAGUUUUAGAAUUCUCAUUGUGCUUCAUGGGAGAGUGAAUUUAUAUUCAUAUGAUGAGUUUUAAUGAUGCUUAAGUGUUAUAAUAAAAUUUAACUUGAUAUUCAUGAUACUCAUGUCUCA
Molecule: long non-coding RNA, 536 nt
Organism: Ictalurus punctatus (channel catfish)
Lineage: Eukaryota; Metazoa; Chordata; Actinopteri; Siluriformes; Ictaluridae
Exons: 3
Source: RefSeq, a predicted model, not a curated record